GACAUAAAUAACCUACGAAAGUGACUUUAAUAAUCCUAAACAUACAAUAGCUAGGGUACAAACUGAGAUUAGAUACCUCACUAUGCCUAGCCCUAAACUUUGAUAGCUACCUUUACAAAGCUAUCCGCCAGAGAACUACUAGCCAGAGCUUAAAACUUAAAGGACUUGGCGGUGCUUUAUAUCCACCUAGGGGAGCCUGUCUUAUAACCGAUGAACCCCGAUAUACCUUACCGUCACUUGCUAAUUCAGUCCAUAUACCACCAUCUUCAGCAAACCCCUAUAGGGCACAAAAGUGAGCUUAAUCAUAACCCAUGAAAAAGUUAGGCCGAGGUGUCGCCUACAUGACGGUCAAAGAUGGGCUACAUUUUCUAUUAUAGAACAGACAAACGGAUAUCACCCUGAAACGAGUGAUUGAAGGCGAAUUUAGUAGUAAACUAAGAAUAGAGAGCUUAAUUGAACAAGGCCAUGAAGCGCGUACACACCGCCCGUCACUCUCCUCAAGUACUUCCAUAUCAAACAAUCAUAUUACAGAUUAAAACAAAUACAAGAGGAGACAAGUCGUAACAAGGUAAGCGUACUGGAAAGUGUGCUUGGGUAACUCAAAGU
RNAcentral lists this non-coding RNA (606 nucleotides) under Loxodonta africana (African savanna elephant). Its description in RNAcentral is "Bacterial small subunit ribosomal RNA". It matches the Rfam family "Bacterial small subunit ribosomal RNA", at positions 701 to 1533 of the family's 1533-position model. Lineage: Eukaryota; Metazoa; Chordata; Mammalia; Proboscidea; Elephantidae. The record is from Rfam by way of RNAcentral.